RNAcentral lists this ribosomal RNA (769 nucleotides) under Halogeometricum sp. BAB-3004. Its description in RNAcentral is "bacterial SSU rRNA". It matches the Rfam family "Archaeal small subunit ribosomal RNA", at positions 1 to 765 of the family's 1478-position model. Lineage: Archaea; Methanobacteriati; Methanobacteriota; Halobacteria; Halobacteriales; Haloferacaceae. The record is from RNAcentral.
UUUUCUCGGUUUGGAUCCUGCCGGAGGCCAUUGCUAUCGGAGUCCUGAUUUAGCCAUGCUAGUUGCACGAGUUCACACUCGUAGCAUAUAGCUCAGUAACACGUGGUCAAGCUACCCUGCAGACACGGACAACCUCGGGAAACUGAGGCUAAUCCGCGAUACCGAUCCCACGCUGGAAUGCCGGGAUCCACAAACGCUCCGGCGCUGCAGGAUGCGGCUGCGGCCGAUUAGGUAGACGGUGGGGUAACGGCCCACCGUGCCGAUAAUCGGUACGGGUUGUGAGAGCAAGAGCCCGGAGACGGAAUCUGAGACAAGAUUCCGGGCCCUACGGGGCGCAGCAGGCGCGAAACCUUUACACUGCACGCAAGUGCGAUAAGGGGACUCCGAGUGCGAGGGCAUAUAGUCCUCGCUUUUGAGAACCGUAAGGCGGUUCUCGAAUAAGAGCUGGGCAAGACCGGAAACAAAAAGCCGCGGUAAUACCGGCAGCUCAAGUGAUGGCCAAUCUUAUUGGGCCUAAAGCGUCCGUAGCUGGCCACGAAAGUCCGUCGGGAAAUCCAUCUGCCCAACAGAUGGGCGUCCGGCGGAAACUUCGUGGCUUGGGACCGGAAGGCUCGAGGGGUACGUCCGGGGUAGGAGUGAAAUCCCGUAAUCCUGGACGGACCGCCGAUGGCGAAAGCACCUCGAGAAGACGGAUCCGACAGUGAGGGACGAAAGCUAGGGUCUCGAACCGGAUUAGAUACCCGGGUAGUCCUAGCCGUAAACAAUGUUC